AUCCAGCUGACGAGUCCGAAAUUGGACGAAACGCGCUUUCUGGAU
Molecule: non-coding RNA, 45 nt
Organism: Schistosoma rodhaini
Lineage: Eukaryota; Metazoa; Platyhelminthes; Trematoda; Strigeidida; Schistosomatidae
Source: Rfam